CCUACGGGAGGCAGCAGUGAGGAAUAUUGGUCAAUGGACGAGAGUCUGAACCAGCCAAGUAGCGUGAAGGAUGACUGCCCUAUGGGUUGUAAACUUCUUUUAUAUGGGAAUAAAAUGUUCCACGUGUGGGAUUUUGUAUGUACCAUAUGAAUAAGGAUCGGCUAACACCGUGCCAGCAGCCGCGGUAAUACGGAGGAUCCGAGCGUUAUCCGGAUUUAUUGGGUUUAAAGGGAGCGUAGGUGGAUUGUUAAGUCAGUUGUGAAAGUUUGCGGCUCAACCGUAAAAUUGCAGUUGAAACUGGCAGUCUGGAGUACAGGAGAGGUGAGCGGAAUUCGUGGUGUAGCGGUGAAAUGCGUAGAUAUCACGAAGAACUCCGAUUGCGAAGGCAGCUCACUGGACUGCAACUGACACUGAGGCUCGAAAGUGUGGGUAUCAAACAGGAUUAGAUACCCGAGUAGUC
RNAcentral lists this ribosomal RNA (460 nucleotides) under uncultured bacterium. RNAcentral describes it as "partial 16S ribosomal RNA". It matches the Rfam family "Bacterial small subunit ribosomal RNA", at positions 338 to 795 of the family's 1533-position model. The record is from RNAcentral.